GGUUAGUUGAGCUCACCCUUUCUUUCACUGUUCUCUUCAGGAAAUGAAAACAUAGCCGGGACUAGUCGUGGAAUGGAGUGACGGUCCAGAUGAUAGUAUUAGUAGUCCUCACUAUUCUGUUAAAUAGUGUGACAAUAAAUGUAAUGAAGACUUAUUCUGAGAGUGGAUAUUGUCUAGAUGACAAUAUUUGUAUUAAAACUC
RNAcentral lists this long non-coding RNA (201 nucleotides) under Panax ginseng (ginseng). RNAcentral describes it as "long non-coding RNA (PGIN_LNC000112)". The record is from RNAcentral. Lineage: Eukaryota; Viridiplantae; Streptophyta; Magnoliopsida; Apiales; Araliaceae.